GGUUGGUCCGAGUGCAGUGGUGUUUAUAACUAAUUGAUCACAACCAGUUACAGAUUCCUUUGUUCCUUCUCCACUCCCACUGGUUCACUUAAACAGCCUUUA
Prolemur simus (greater bamboo lemur) is the source of this 102-nucleotide unclassified non-coding RNA. It matches the Rfam family "Y RNA". Rfam says of the family: Y RNAs are components of the Ro ribonucleoprotein particle (Ro RNP), in association with Ro60 and La proteins. The Y RNAs and Ro60 and La proteins are well conserved, but the function of the Ro RNP is not known. The record is from Ensembl. NCBI's taxonomy places the organism in Eukaryota, Metazoa, Chordata, Mammalia, Primates, Lemuridae.